Molecule: long non-coding RNA, 258 nt
Organism: Salvelinus fontinalis (brook trout)
Lineage: Eukaryota; Metazoa; Chordata; Actinopteri; Salmoniformes; Salmonidae
Exons: 3
Source: RefSeq, a predicted model, not a curated record
GCGGUGUCAUUAUGUGGUGUUGAGGUGCGUUGUGUCAAGGUGCGGUGUCAUUAUGUGGUGUUGAGGUACGUUGUGUUGAGGUGCGUUGUGUCAAGGUGCGGUGUCAUUAUGUGGUGUUGAGGUACGUUGUGUCAAGGUGCGGUGUCAUUAUGUGGUGUUGAGGUACGUUGUGUCAAGGUGCGGUGUCAUUAUGUGGUGUUGAGGUGCGUUGUGUUGAGGUGUGUUGUGUCAAGGUGCGGUGUCAUUAUGUGGUGUUGA